This 28-nucleotide non-coding RNA is filed under the name Mus musculus (house mouse). Lineage: Eukaryota; Metazoa; Chordata; Mammalia; Rodentia; Muridae. The record is from RNAcentral.
UACCAGCUUUGUCAGCAUUUGAAGGAAU